This 492-nucleotide ribosomal RNA is filed under the name uncultured bacterium. Its description in RNAcentral is "bacterial SSU rRNA". It matches the Rfam family "Bacterial small subunit ribosomal RNA", at positions 28 to 507 of the family's 1533-position model. The record is from RNAcentral.
GAUGAACGCUAGCUACAGGCUUAACACAUGCAAGUCGAGGGGAAACGACAUUGGAAGCUUGCUUCCGAUGGGCGUCGACCGGCGCACGGGUGAGUAACGCGUAUCCAACCUGCCCACCACUUGGGGAUAACCUUGCGAAAGUAAGACUAAUACCCAAUGAUAUUUAAAGAAGACAUCUGAAUUAAAUUAAAGAUUUAUCGGUGAUGGAUGGGGAUGCGUCUGAUUAGCUUGUUGGCGGGGUAACGGCCCACCAAGGCUACGAUCAGUAGGGGUUCUGAGAGGAAGGUCCCCCACAUUGGAACUGAGACACGGUCCAAACUCCUACGGGAGGCAGCAGUGAGGAAUAUUGGUCAAUGGGCGAGAGCCUGAACCAGCCAAGUAGCGUGCAGGAAGACGGCCCUAUGGGUUGUAAACUGCUUUUAUAAGGGAAUAAAGUGAGAGUCAUGACUCUUUUUGCAUGUACCUUAUGAAUAAGGACCGGCUAAUUCCGUG